CUGAUAGUACUUAGUUUUAUUUGACAAAUGACAAUUUGAUAAUAGGUACACAAUGUACAUGAUUUCAGCAAAUGCACAAUUAAAUCCUAUUAUUUAGUGCUAACAACCCUUUCUAUUGGGUUACAAGUUCAGUACUUUAAAAAAGAAAAAUACCUAAGUAGACAAGCUUCAUUUUCUUUUUCCAAGUCAAUGAAAGUUAAUCCGUAGUGAUUUUAAUACCUGGAUGAGUAAUAUAAAGACUCAUUGUUGGAUUGUUGGAGAACAUGAGAUAUACAGUAUAUGGGCUGAUUUUCUAGUCUGACGUGUCCAAUUGCCCGAUUGCAUCAUGCUUCCUCUCCACCAAUGCCGAUCCCUGCUCUGAUUGAGGAGAACGAAGCUAACCCACGCUCCUUCCGACACGUGGGCAGCAUGCCGUAUGCAUCUUAUCACCUACACUUUGACGAGUGCAGUGCAGCCCAGCGUUGUGUACGGAGAGACACACCCUGAGAGCACUCUCUUUUCUCAUCUGUGCAGGCGCCAUCAAUCAGCCAGCAGAGGUCGUAAUUGCACCAGUCAUGAGAGAGAGACCCCAUCCAGCUAUACCGCCCAUAUCUGAACAACAGGCCAAUCGUUGUUCAUGUGGCCGCUCAGCCUUAGCCGGCAGGCAGACCUGAGAUUUGAUACGAUGUAUUCGAGAACCCAGCUCUGGUUCCAGCGUGUGUUUUUUUACACUACACUUGAUUUCUGAUAAUAAAAUCUAGGAAGGAAACAAGUAAACACAAAACACAUUCUGUAAAACGUAAUACAUAAACUUAGAUGUCAAUUUAAA
Long non-coding RNA from Trichomycterus rosablanca, 808 nucleotides. RefSeq lists it as uncharacterized. NCBI's taxonomy places the organism in Eukaryota, Metazoa, Chordata, Actinopteri, Siluriformes, Trichomycteridae. The record is from RefSeq and is a predicted model, not a curated record. The transcript is spliced from 2 exons.